AGAUUGAACGCUGGCGGCAGGCCUAACACAUGCAAGUCGAGCGGCAGCGCGGGUACUUGUACCUGGUGGCGAGCGGCGGACGGGUGAGUAAUGCCUAGGAAUCUGCCUGAUAGUGGGGGAUAACGCUCGGAAACGGACGCUAAUACCGCAUACGUCCUACGGGAGAAAGCAGGGGACCUUCGGGCCUUGCGCUAUCAGAUGAGCCUAGGUCGGAUUAGCUAGGUUGGUGGGGUAAUGGCUCACCAAGGCGACGAUCCGUAACUGGUCUGAGAGGAUGAUCAGUCACACUGGAACUGAGACACGGUCCAGACCUCCGUACGGGAGCAG
RNAcentral lists this ribosomal RNA (327 nucleotides) under uncultured soil bacterium. RNAcentral's name for it is "bacterial SSU rRNA". It matches the Rfam family "Bacterial small subunit ribosomal RNA", at positions 26 to 354 of the family's 1533-position model. The record is from RNAcentral.